Long non-coding RNA from Helicoverpa zea (corn earworm), 978 nucleotides. RefSeq lists it as uncharacterized. Lineage: Eukaryota; Metazoa; Arthropoda; Insecta; Lepidoptera; Noctuidae. The transcript is spliced from 2 exons. The record is from RefSeq and is a predicted model, not a curated record.
AGAAUAGAAACAAAUUUUGUUGGACAAGUUCUUUUACUAUAAAAAUCUAAAAUAUUGUUUUUUUUUUCUUCUAAAAGUGACGUCAUUAAAGAUCAGACCCUCUUCAGUAUUUUAGGGUCAACACAUUUCAUACAUUGUGUUAAUGAUUUCACAACAUUAUUGCACAACGUAUUUUAAUAGUGGAUUGCACAAGUUUUAUUCACCGCGACUAGAGGUAUUAUCAUACCGUCCGCAUGCGAUACAGAGUUCGCACAAAUAUCUUCGCUCUAAAUGAGGAUACUUGACUUUUUUGAGAAUAAUUUAUCCCGCGAGAUUACUAUUUUAGUGCUGUUUUUUGUUAAGUUAUAAAAAUCAUAGGUAAUUGUCGUUGGAAUUUGGGUACGGUUAUAAUAGUUUUGAAAUUGGUGUUUUAUGUAAAUGUAGUGUAUUUAACUAAACAUGACAAAUCACCCGGGCUUGGUUGCCAGGGUGAAUCUAUGUUAACUACAUUAUUAACUAAAUGUCAAUUGAUAAUUAUCUAUGCCUGUGUUUUAAGUGAAGUGUGUAGAAGUGUUCAGAUACCGGGUUCCAAGCCAAGGUCCACCAUACCUGACAUAACUGCUCUGCGGCACAGGCGCAUCAGAAUGGGUCAUGGUGGUGGGGUCCAGCUCGAACAGCGUGGCGAUCUCCGACGAGUGAGGCACGGAGACCAGCUGGAAGGCCGGCUCGUAUGGAUCCACUGGUGCUUCACUGGUGAUUACAGGUAAAGGGGGUUACAUGUAGGUCAUUAUGUCACUCAUAUUUGGUGUGGCGAGCACACAGCAAAAGGCAAAGAAAAUUGCUGAUAUCAUAAAGCGUCACCCUGCUUGUGUUCGGCAGAUGGGUGUUUAUUAACCUCAGGGAGAGCUAAGAUACAAAAGGUAUUCUCGAGUUUUACUUUCGUUAUUCAUUAGCCAAUACAUACAUAUGAGUUUAGAAUAUAUGCUUCGCGCGGGGCUA